UACGGAAGGCAGCAGUGGGGAAUAUUGCACAAUGGGCGAAAGCCUGAUGCAGCUAUGCCGCGUGUAUGAAGAAGGCCUUAGGGUUGUAAAGUACUUUCAUCGGGGAGGAAAAAACAAAACUAAUAAUUUUAUUUCUUGACGUUACCCGAAAAAGAAGCACCGGCUAACUCCGUGCCAGCAGCCGCGGUAAUACGGAGGGUGCUAGCGUUAAUCAGAAUUACUGGGCGUAAAGAGCACGUAGGUGGUUUUUUAAGUUCAGAUGUGAAAUCCCUGGGCUUAACCUAGGAACUGCAUUUUGAAACUGAAAUACUAGAGUAUCGUAGAGGGAGGUAGAAUUCUAGGUGUAGCGGUGAAAUGCGUAGAUAUCUGGAGGAAUACCUGUGGCGAAAGCGGCCUCCUAAACGAAAUACUGACACUGAGGUGCGAAAGCGGUGGGGAGCAAACAGGAUUAGAUACC
This 457-nucleotide ribosomal RNA is filed under the name uncultured bacterium. Its description in RNAcentral is "bacterial SSU rRNA". It matches the Rfam family "Bacterial small subunit ribosomal RNA", at positions 340 to 786 of the family's 1533-position model. The record is from RNAcentral.